Long non-coding RNA from Syngnathoides biaculeatus (alligator pipefish), 539 nucleotides. RefSeq lists it as uncharacterized. NCBI's taxonomy places the organism in Eukaryota, Metazoa, Chordata, Actinopteri, Syngnathiformes, Syngnathidae. The transcript has 4 exons. The record is from RefSeq and is a predicted model, not a curated record.
UGAGACUCAGCCUGUGUGAAGUGGUGAAACAAAAUUCUGAAUGGCAAGACCAUUUCAAUGUUGACCAGCUCAGGAUGUACCUCACUUCUCACCCAGAGUGAGCUGACAGAGGCGUCAGCACACCCGUGGCGCUUGCAAGGAUAAUUGGACACAAGAUUUCAGCAACAUCACCAAGGCCUUUUUAAUGGAUUUUAAUGGAUUUCAUUUUAUAUCUUUUUGGCCCUUGCAAUGUUCCAAGCAAAUUGACACGAUGUUCCAGCUGCUUUUGCAAUGCUGUCCAGACUUCCCUUUUCCCCAGCAACUUCAUCCAGCUCUUCCAGGAGGAUCCCGAUGUGUCAUUAGGCCAGCCGAGAGAUGUAAUGUCUCGAGUGUGUUCUGGUUCAUCACUGGGGUCUCUUUCCGGCAGUACAUGCCUGAAACACCUCAAAAGGGAGGUGUCCAGGAGGGAUCCAAAUCAGAUGCCCCAGCCACCUCAUCUGACUCCUUUCAGUGCGGACGAGCAGCAGCACGGAACUGAGUCCUUCCUGGAUGACCAAACU